RNAcentral lists this long non-coding RNA (660 nucleotides) under Eucalyptus grandis. RNAcentral describes it as "long non-coding RNA (EGRA_LNC001549)". The record is from RNAcentral. Lineage: Eukaryota; Viridiplantae; Streptophyta; Magnoliopsida; Myrtales; Myrtaceae.
GCCAACUAAUCCAGGAUUAGUGAGAUUACUCACCAAAUCGCACGCAAAUCGGAUCAAUCCGACGGCGACGAUGCGAGGAACGAUUGUUCCCAAGCACGGCUCGGGUUCGAGGCCGGGAAACGGCCCAAAAGCGGGCCCGAAGUGCUGGAUACCCACUUCGUGGGUCUGCUGGUUAGCUGCAAAACAGAGAGAAAGAGAGAGGGUUGGGGGCGGCAAGAGGUCGGGAGAGCGGGCGGAGCUCCGGUGAGGCCGGACGGUGGCUGGAGAUGGAGCUGGUCGGUGGUUCGGCGGCUUCUUCAGCUACUCCCGAAGCUAGACAGAGACCAACCAGCUGCUGGACGGAGCUGCUAGGCGGCAAGGAUGCGAGGGACAAGCGGCGGGAUGCGAGGGCGGCGAGCGAGUGACGGGACGGCGGCGGGACAGGCGGCGACGGUGAGCCACUUCAAUCUUCAAACGAUGGUGGCCGCUGCUUCUGCCCUUCUUCGGUUUUGGUCCGCACAAACCAGAGAGAAAAAGAGAGAGAAGAAGUCGGUCACGUGGGGAAAAAAGGAGAGAAGAGAGAGGAGAGAGAAGAAGAAAGGAAAGUGAUAAGAAAGAAGGGAGGAGAUAGGAUUUUGACCAGUCAAAAGUGAAAAAGAGAGAGAGAGAAGCCAAUUUAAA